UACGAAGGGGGCGAGCGUUGUUCGGAUUUACUGGGCGUAAAGGGCGCGCAGGCGGCUCUACAAGUCAGACGUGAAAGCCCCGGGCUUAACCUGGGAACUGCGUUUGGGACUGUGGGGCUAGAGAUCGGGAGAGGAGAGUGGAAUUCCCAGUGUAGAGGUGAAAUUCGUAGAUAUUGGGAAGAACACCGGUGGCGAAGGCGGCUCUCUGGACCGAUACUGACGCUGAGGCGCGAAAGCGUGGGGAGCAAACAGG
This 253-nucleotide ribosomal RNA is filed under the name uncultured bacterium. RNAcentral describes it as "partial 16S ribosomal RNA". It matches the Rfam family "Bacterial small subunit ribosomal RNA", at positions 524 to 776 of the family's 1533-position model. The record is from RNAcentral.